CCCUCCACCACCUCCCCACUAAACUGCCUCCUCCCUCCCUCCCUCCACCACCUUCCCACUAAACUGCCUCCUCCACCUCCCUCCACCACCUCCCCACUAAACUGCCUCCCUCCCUCCCUCCAGUCCGUCACUCUCAGGCUGUGUCCUGUGUGACUGUCAGUGCAGUAGUGUGUGGAAGUGCUUGGUGUUGAGCUGUGAGGUAUUUUAUAGCCUUGUAAUUACCAGACUGAUUACUGCUGUGCUGUCAGUGUAGCUAAGCAGAAUGUAAGGAGGGAUGGUUGUACGAGGGUAUUUUACUGAUGGGGUCAAAGGGAAAGGCGACAUUAUAAUUCUCUACUCUUCUUCUGAAGUGUCCACUUGGAUGGAAUGGACUGGAAGGUCCUAGGGAGCAGAGCAGUACAUUAUGAAGCUGAAGGUCCUAGGGAACAGAGCAGUACAUUAUGAAGCUGAAGGUCCCAGGGAACAGAGCAGUACAUUGUGAAGCUGAAGGUCCUAGGGAACAGAGCAGUACAUUAUGAAGCUGAAGGUCCUAGAGAGCAGAGCAGUACAUUAUGAAGCUGAAGGUCCCAGGGAACAGAGCAGUACAUUAUGAAGCUGAAGGUUCGAGGCAACAGAGCAGUACAUUAUGAAGCAGAGCAGUACAUUAUGAAGCUGAAGGUCCUAGGGAGCAGAGCAGUACAUUAUGAAGCUGAAGGUCCUAGGGAGCAGAGCAGUACAUUAUGAAGCUGAAGGUCCUAGGGAACAGAGCAGUACAUUAUGAAGCUGAAGGUCCCAGGGAACAGAGCAGUACAUUAUGAAGCUGAAGGUUCGAGGCAACAGAGCAGUACAUUAUGAAGCUGAAGGUCCCAGGGAACAGAGCAGUACAUUAUGAAGCUGAAGGUCCUAGGGAACAGACCAGUACAUUAUGAAGCUGAAGGUCCUAGGGAACAGAGCAGUACAUUAUGAAGCUGAAGGUCCCACAGAACAGAUCAGUACAUUAUGAAGCUGAAGGUCCUAGGGAACAUAGCAGUACAUUAUGAAGCUGAAGGUCCUAGGGAACAGAGCAGUACAUUAUGAAGCUGAAGGUCCUAGGGAACUGAGCAGUACAUUAUGAAGCUGAAGGUCCUAGGGAACAGAGCAGUACAUUAUGAAGCUGAAGGUCCUAGGGAGCAGAGCAGUACAUUAUGAAGCUGAAGGUCCUAGGGAACAGAGCAGUACAUUAUGAAGCUGAAGGUCCUAGGGAACAGAGCAGUACAUUAUGAAGCUGAAGGUCCCAGGGAACAGAGCAGUACAUUAUGAAGCUGAAGGUCCUAGGGAACAGAGCAGUACAUUAUGAAGCUGAAGGUCCUAGGGAGCAGAGCAGUACAUUAUGAAGCUGAAGGUCCCAGGGAACAGAGCAGUACAUUAUGAAGCUGAAGGUCCCAGGGAACAGAGCAGUACAUUAUGAAGCUGAAGGUCCUAGGGAACAGACCAGUACAUUAUGAAGCUGAAGGUCCUAGGGAACAGACCAGUACAUUAUGAAGCUGAAGGUCCUAGGGAACAGAGCAGUACAUUAUGAAGCUGAAGGUCCUAGGGAACAGACCAGUACAUUAUGAAGCUGAAGGUCCUAGGGAACAGAGCAGUACAUUAUGAAGCUGAAGGUCCUAGGGAACAGAGCAGUACAUUAUGAAGCUGAAGGUCCUAGGGAACAGAGCAGUACAUUAUGAAGCUGAAGGUCCUAGGGAACAGAGCAGUACAUUAUGAAGCUGAAGGUCCUAGGGAACAGAGCAGUACAUUAUGAAGCUGAAGGUCCUAGGGAACAGAGCAGUACAUUAUGAAGCUGAAGGUCCUAGGGAACAGAGCAGUACAUUAUGAAGCUGAAGGUCCUAGGGAACAGAGCAGUACAUUAUGAAGCUGAAGGUCCCAGGGAACAGAGCAGUACAUUAUGAAGCUGAAGGUCCCAGGGAACAGAGCAGUACACUAUGAAGCUGAAGGUCCUUGGGAACAGAGCAGUACAUUAUGAAGCUGAAGGUCCUCAGGAACAGAGCAGUACAUUAUGAAGCUGAAGGUCCUCGGGAACAGAGCAGUACAUUAUGAAGCUGAAGGUCCUAGGGAACAGAGCAGUACAUUAUGAAGCUGAAGGUCCUCGGGAACAGAGCAGUACAUUAUGAAGCUGAAGGUCCUCGGGAACAGAGCAGUACAUUAUGAAGCUGAAGGUCCCAGGGAACAGAGCAGUACAUUAUGAAGCUGAAGGUCCCAGGGAACAGAGCAGUACAUUAUGAAGCUGAAGGUCCCAGGGAACAGAGCAGUACAUUAUGAAGCUGAAGGUCCUAGGGAACAGAGCAGUACAUUAUGAAGCUGAAGGUCCCAGGGAACAGAGCAGUACAUUAUGAAGCUGAAGGUCCCAGGGAACAGAGCAGUACAUUAUGAAGCUGAAGGUCCCAGGGAACAGAGCAGUACAUUAUGAAGCUGAAGGUCCUCGGGAACAGAGCAGUACAUUAUGAAGCUGAAGGUCCCAGGGAACAGAGCAGUACAUUAUGAAGCUGAAGGUCCCAGGGAACAGAGCAGUACAUUAUGAAGCUGAAGGUCCCAGGGAACAGAGCAGUACAUUAUGAAGCUGAAGGUCCUCGGGAACAGAGCAGUACAUUAUGAAGCUGAAGGUCCCAGGGAACAGAGCAGUACAUUAUGAAGCUGAAGGUCCUCGGGAACAGAGCAGUACAUUAUGAAGCUGAAGGUCCUAGGGAACAGAGCAGUACAUUAUGAAGCUGAAGGUCCUCGGGAACAGAGCAGUACAUUAUGAAGCUGAAGGUCCUCGGGAACAGAGCAGUACAUUAUGAAGCUGAAGGUCCUCGGGAACAGAGCAGUACAUUAUGAAGCUGAAGGUCCCAGGGAACAGAGCAGUACAUUAUGAAGCUGAAGGUCCUCGGGAACAGAUCAGUACAUUAUAAGUGUUUCUUAUUGGUGGAGCCUCCAGUUGCUGCCUGAUGUUAAGUGAUGAUGUAGUACUCAUUAGGUGAUGUCAUGUUUUAACAUGUGUUUUUAGGAAAGACCGAGGCUUUCUGUGUUAAGAUAUGUUUUUAUCUAUAUACUCGAGGGAAGAUGACAUUUGGAGAAACGCUGUUUAAACAUUCCUUUAAUAUGUUCCUACUUUGUGAUCAUAGUAUUUGAGUUGUAUUAGUCGGUGUUCUGAUGAGAGGGUGAACAGCUGUGUGUAUAUUCACUAGGUACUGAACGGAGUAAGAUAGAUUUAAAACAGGCCUGGGAUUUAACCUGAACUUGUCUAAAAAUAAACACUUUUUUUUUUGUUGCAAAACUUGUUGCUUUGCAAAAUGUUUCGCUAAAUUGUGCACUAUGAAUAUACUGUGGCUGUGUGCUGCAGUUUGACCACCUGGCCUGCAGAGGGCAUCAAUGAGUCAACUUAUAAUAUAAUAAUAACUUAUUAUGUUUAACCAUAUGUCAUGUCCAUUAUCAUUAUGCAUCAAGAUAAUGAUUGUUGCUGUCUUUAUUCACAGUGUGUACUGAAUGAAAUGUUUCAUCAUUCACAUGUAUUUAUUUCACCAUUUGAAUAUUAUUUAUUGAAUUAGAAUUUUAAAUGUUAAGUACACUACACUGACCAACAGUAUGUGGACACCUGCUCGUCCAACAUCUCGUUCCAAAAUCAUGGGCAUUAAUAUGGAGUUGGUCCCCUCUUUGCUGCUAUAACAGCCUCUUCUGGGAAUUUUUCCCACUACCUGUUGGAACAUUGAUGUGGGGACUUGCUUCCAUUCAGCCACAAGAACAUUAGUGAGGUUGGACACUGAUGCUGGGCGAUUAGGCCUGGCUCGGAGUCGGCGUUCCAAUUCAUCUGAAAGGUGUUUGAUGGGGUUGAGGUCAGGGCUCUGUGCAGGCCAGUCAAGUUCCUCCACACUGAUAUCAACAAACCAUUUCUGUAUGAACUUCUCUUUGUGCACAGGGUCAUUGUCAACCUGGAACAGGAAAUGGUCUUCCCCAAACUGUUGCCACAAAGUUGGAAGCACAGAAUCAUCUAGAAUGUCAUUGUUAUGCUGUAGCGUUAGGAUUUCCCUUCACUGGAACUAAGAGGCCUGAACCAUGAACAACAGCCCCAGAACAUUAUUCCUCCUCCACCAAACUUUACAGCUGUGUUGGGGCAGGUAGCGUUCUCCUGGCAUCCGCCAAACCCAGAUUCGUCCGUUGGACUGCCAGAUGGUGAAGCGUUUCCACUGCUCCAGAGUCGGCGAACUUUAAACCACUUCCAGCCGACGCGUGGCAUUGUGCAUGGUGAUCUUAGGCUUGUGUGCGGCUGCUCGGCCAUGGAAACCCAUUUCAUGAAGCUUCAGACAAACCGUUCUUAACAUGACGUUGCUUCCAGAGGCAGUUUGGAACUCGGUAGUGAGUGUUGCAACCGAGGACAGACGAUGCUUCAGCACUCGGCGAUCCCGUUCUGUGAGCUUGCGUGGCCUACCACUUCACAGCUGAGCCGUUGUUGCUCCUAGACUUUUCCACUUCACAAUAACAACACUUACAGUUGACCAGGGCAGCUCUAGCAGGGCAGAAAUUUGACGAAUUGACUUGUUGGAAAGGUGGCAUCCUAUGACUGCUCUACUGGCAAUGUUUGUCUAUGGAGAUUGCAUGGCGGUGUGCUCAAUUAUGAAUUAUUUUAAUACAGUUAUGAACGGGUGUGGCUGAUGGAGCCAAAUCCACUCAUUUAAAGGGGUGUCCACAUACUUUUGUAUAUAUAUAUAGUGUAUAUCUUAUUUUGAUAUUGGUACCUUGUGUUGUAAAGACUGGAUGGAUUCAAAGUUGUUCUUUUUCCAAAAUAAAUCUGUGCCCUGGA
Long non-coding RNA from Oncorhynchus keta (chum salmon), 4792 nucleotides. RefSeq lists it as uncharacterized. The record is from RefSeq and is a predicted model, not a curated record. Lineage: Eukaryota; Metazoa; Chordata; Actinopteri; Salmoniformes; Salmonidae. The transcript has 13 exons.